Molecule: ribosomal RNA, 492 nt
Filed under: uncultured bacterium
Lineage: Bacteria
Description: partial 16S ribosomal RNA
Rfam family: Bacterial small subunit ribosomal RNA
Source: RNAcentral
GAUGAACGCUAGCGAUAGGCUUAACACACGCAAGUCGAGGGGCAGCACAAGGUAGCUUGCUAUCUGGGUGGCGACCGGCGCACGGGUGCGUAACGCGUAUGCAACUUGCCCUAUACAGGAGGAUAACCCGUCGAAAGACGGACUAAUACUGCGUAUGCUCACAACUUGGCAUCAAGUGGUGAGGAAAGAAAUUCGGUAUAGGAUAGGCAUGCGUCCCAUUAGCUUGUUGGUGAGGUAACGGCUCACCAAGGCAACGAUGGGUAGGGGAACUGAGAGGUUUAACAGCAACACUGGAACUGAGAGACGGUCGAGACUACUACGGGAGGAAGCAGUGGGGAAUAUUGGACAAGGGGAGCAAGACGGAUCAAGACAUAACGCGUGGGUGAAGAAGGACAUCGGGUUGUAAAGACAUUUUGGUGGGAAAGAAAAGAAGAAGGUUAAUACCCCGCUGUGCUGAAGGUACCAAAAGAAUAAGCACCGGCUAACUUCGUG